This 569-nucleotide ribosomal RNA is filed under the name Boeremia exigua. Its description in RNAcentral is "eukaryotic LSU rRNA". It matches the Rfam family "Eukaryotic large subunit ribosomal RNA", at positions 38 to 610 of the family's 3401-position model. The record is from RNAcentral. Lineage: Eukaryota; Fungi; Ascomycota; Dothideomycetes; Pleosporales; Didymellaceae.
GCAUAUCAAUAAGCGGAGGAAAAGAAACCAACAGGGAUUGCCCUAGUAACGGCGAGUGAAGCGGCAACAGCUCAAAUUUGAAAUCUGGCGUCUUUGGCGUCCGAGUUGUAAUUUGCAGAGGGCGCUUUGGCAUUGGCAGCGGUCCAAGUUCCUUGGAACAGGACGUCACAGAGGGUGAGAAUCCCGUACGUGGUCGCUAGCCUUUACCGUGUAAAGCCCCUUCGACGAGUCGAGUUGUUUGGGAAUGCAGCUCUAAAUGGGAGGUAAAUUUCUUCUAAAGCUAAAUACUGGCCAGAGACCGAUAGCGCACAAGUAGAGUGAUCGAAAGAUGAAAAGCACUUUGGAAAGAGAGUUAAAAAGCACGUGAAAUUGUUGAAAGGGAAGCGCUUGCAGCCAGACUUGCCUGUAGUUGCUCAUCCGGGUUUUUACCCGGUGCACUCUUCUAUAGGCAGGCCAGCAUCAGUUUGGGCGGUUGGAUAAAGGUCUCUGUCACGUACCUCCUCUCGGGGAGAACUUAUAGGGGAGACGUAAUGCAACCAGCCUGGACUGAGGUCCGCGCAUCUGCUAGA